GAGACUCUGUGCGCGUGCAUAUCAAUAAGCGGAGGAAAAGAAACUAACAAGGAUUCCCUUAGUAACGGCGAGUGAAGCGGGAAGAGCUCAAAUUUGAAAUCUUCAAGGUUCUACCUUGACGAAUUGUAGUUUAUAGAAGUGUUUUCUGUUAGUGGAGUGGCAAAAGUUCUUUGGAAUAGGACAUCAUAGAGGGUGAGAAUCCCGUAUUUGGUCAUUCCUCCUAGCGUUGUGAUACACUUUCAACGAGUCGGAUUGUUUGGGAAUGCAGUCCAAAAUGGGUGGUAAAUUUCAUCUAAAGCUAAAUAUUGGCGAGAGACCGAUAGCGAACAAGUACCGUGAGGGAAAGAUGAAAAGAACUUUGAAAAGAGAGUUAAACAGUACGUGAAAUUGUCAAAAGGGAAGCGUUUGACACCAGUGUUGUUUUUCCGAAAAUCAAUUACGAAUGUUUUAUUUUUGAGAAGUUAUGACUUCAUCGGCUUGCUUCUCUCUUUAUGAAACUUUCUUAACGCACUUUUCGGUUAACAAGUCAACAUCAAUUUCUUUUGUUGUAAAAGGGUAUGAGGAAGGUGGCUUUCUUUUCGGAGAAAGUGUUUAUAGCCUUGUACCUCUGCAAUCGGAGAGAUUGAGGUCUACAGCGUAGAUCCUUCGGGGUUAGAUACGUCUGUGCUAAGUUAUAGCUUUUCAUAGACAACUUGUUGACUAUGUUUAGUCUUGUAGCUUACUCGCUGACGCUAUUUUACCUACGCUUAGGAUGUUGAACUCUAUCACACACAG
This 774-nucleotide ribosomal RNA is filed under the name uncultured Neocallimastigales. Its description in RNAcentral is "partial large subunit ribosomal RNA". It matches the Rfam family "Eukaryotic large subunit ribosomal RNA", at positions 23 to 621 of the family's 3401-position model. Lineage: Eukaryota; Fungi; Neocallimastigomycota; Neocallimastigomycetes; Neocallimastigales. The record is from RNAcentral.